Molecule: ribosomal RNA, 500 nt
Filed under: uncultured bacterium
Lineage: Bacteria
Description: partial 16S ribosomal RNA
Rfam family: Bacterial small subunit ribosomal RNA
Source: RNAcentral
AACGAACGCUGGCGGAAUGCUUUACACAUGCAAGUCGAACGGCAGCACGGGGGCAACCCUGGUGGCGAGUGGCGAACGGGUGAGUAAUACAUCGGAACGUGCCCAGUCGUGGGGGAUAACGUAGCGAAAGUUACGCUAAUACCGCAUACGAUCUACGGAUGAAAGCGGGGGACCGUAAGGCCUCGCGCGAUUGGAGCGGCCGAUGUCAGAUUAGGUAGUUGGUGAGGUAAAGGCUCACCAAGCCGACGAUCUGUAGCUGGUCUGAGAGGACGACCAGCCACACUGGGACUGAGACACGGCCCAGACGCCUACGGGAGGCAGCAGUGGGGAAUUUUGGACAAUGGGCGAAAGCCUGAUCCAGCCAUUCCGCAUGCAGGAUGAAGGCCCUCGGGUUGUAAACUGCUUUUGUACAGAACGAAAAGGUUUCUACUAAUACUAGGAGCUCAUGACGGUACUGUAAGAAUAAGCACCGGCUAACUACGUGCCAGCCGCCGCCGUAA